This 517-nucleotide unclassified non-coding RNA is filed under the name Hevea brasiliensis (rubber tree). Lineage: Eukaryota; Viridiplantae; Streptophyta; Magnoliopsida; Malpighiales; Euphorbiaceae. The record is from RNAcentral.
AUUUUUAUGACUAAAACAUGUCAAUCACCUUUCAAAACAACAUUAGAAUCUACUUGACAUUACUAUUAAGUUUUCUUUUGUUGUUUAAAAACCAUUAAAUAUAAAACUGCUGUCAACCAAAAAAAUACAAAAGGUUUUUUCCUCUUUGGUAAAGAUGGCCACGAGUCGUUUCAGUCUUACACCUGGACAGGAACUAGCCUAGUCAAACCCAAGCCCAAAACCUGUCAAUCGUUCAACUGAGGUGUUCAUGAUUUGGUUUAAGAUAGAUAUUUCAAACCAAAACAAUAAAGUAUAUUUGUAAAUAAUAAAAAAAAUAAUCAAAUCAAAUAAGACUAAAAGAUAUUCAAAUUCGGUUCGUUUGCAUAAACAGUUUGAUCAAUUUAUGCUAUAAAGCAAAAUUGUUUCGAAGAAAAUUCAAGACAUUCAAAUAACAUUGAUGCAAAACCAAAGAACCCUCAAAGGGCAAAAAGAAAUAGUUUCAAAUUUUAUUAACUCUCAAUUGUCAAUAAUAAUCAUA